CAUUGCUGGAACGCGCUUCGGCGCACCCAGAAACCCUUUGUGAACUUAUACCUUACUGUUGCCUCGGCGCAGGCCGGCCCCUCUCGCGGGGCCCCUCCGGAAGGAGGAGCAGCCCGCCGGCGGCCAACCAAACUCUUGUUUCUUAGUGAAUCUCUGAGUAAAAAACAUAAAUGAAUCAAAACUUUCAACAACGGAUCUCUUGGUUCUGGCAUCGAUGAAGAACGCAGCGAAAUGCGAUAAGUAAUGUGAAUUGCAGAAUUCAGUGAAUCAUCGAAUCUUUGAACGCACAUUGCGCCCUCUGGUAUUCCGGAGGGCAUGCCUGUUCGAGCGUCAUUUCAACCCUCAAGCACUGCUUGGUGUUGGGGCACCGCCUGUGAAAGGGCGGGCCCUGAAAACUAGUGGCGAGCUCGCCAGGACCCCGAGCGUAGUAGUUUAUAUCUCGUUCUGGAAGGCCCGGGCGGUGCACUGCCGUUAAACCCCCAACUUCUGAAAUUU
Molecule: ribosomal RNA, 495 nt
Filed under: fungal endophyte
Lineage: Eukaryota; Fungi
Description: eukaryotic LSU rRNA
Rfam family: 5.8S ribosomal RNA (bases 180-333)
Source: RNAcentral